RNAcentral lists this ribosomal RNA (253 nucleotides) under uncultured bacterium. RNAcentral describes it as "partial 16S ribosomal RNA". It matches the Rfam family "Bacterial small subunit ribosomal RNA", at positions 524 to 776 of the family's 1533-position model. The record is from RNAcentral.
UACGUAGGGCGCGAGCGUUGUCCGGAAUUAUUGGGCGUAAAGAGCUCGUAGGCGGCUUGUCACGUCGGGUGUGAAAGACCGGGGCUUAACUCCGGUUCUGCAUUCGAUACGGGCUAGCUAGAGUGUGGUAGGGGAGAUCGGAAUUCCUGGUGUAGCGGUGAAAUGCGCAGAUAUCAGGAGGAACACCGGUGGCGAAGGCGGCAUCCUGGACCGGCAUUGACGCUGAGGCGCGAAAGCCAGGGGAGCAAACGGG